CCUACGGGAGGCAGCAGUGGGGGAUAUUGCACAAUGGGGGAAACCCUGAUGCAGCGACGCCGCGUGGGCGAAGAAGUAUUUCGGUAUGUAAAGCCCUAUCAGCAGGGAAGAAGAAAUGACGGUACCUGAGUAAGAAGCACCGGCUAAAUACGUGCCAGCAGCCGCGGUAAUACGUAUGGUGCAAGCGUUAUCCGGAUUUACUGGGUGUAAAGGGAGCGCAGGCGGCACGGCAAGCCUGAUGUGAAAGCCCGGGGCCCAACCGCGGGACUGCAUUGGGAACUACCGGGCUGGAGUGCAGGAGAGGUAGGCGGAAUGCCUAGUGUAGCGGUGAAAUGCGUAGAUAGUAGGAGGAACACCAGUGGCGAAGGCGGCCUACUGGACGGUGACUGACGCUGAGGCUCGAAAGCGUGGGGAGCAAACAGGAUUAGAUACCCUUGUAGUC
Molecule: ribosomal RNA, 442 nt
Filed under: uncultured bacterium
Lineage: Bacteria
Description: partial 16S ribosomal RNA
Rfam family: Bacterial small subunit ribosomal RNA
Source: RNAcentral